Molecule: unclassified non-coding RNA, 231 nt
Filed under: Hevea brasiliensis (rubber tree)
Lineage: Eukaryota; Viridiplantae; Streptophyta; Magnoliopsida; Malpighiales; Euphorbiaceae
Source: RNAcentral
CUCCACCAUCAUCUACGAGAGCUCGGAGCCGGACACCCCCUUGGUUCGACUAGGAUGGAAUAAGCAGGACCCAAGGUACAUGGCCACCAUCAUCAUGGAUAGUGCCAAGGUGGUUGUUCUGGAUAUCCGCUUCCCAACUCUCCCCGUGGUGGAGUUGCAGAAGCACCACGCUAGUGUCAAUGCCAUUGCUUGGGCCCCUCACAGCUCUUGCCACAUUUGCACUGCUGGGGA